ACGAACGCUGGCGGCGUGCUUAACACCUGCCAGUCGAACGUGAUUUUUGUGGAAAUUCUUUCGGGAAUGGAAAUGAAAUGAAAGUGGCGAACGGGUGAGUAACACGUGAGCAACCUACCUUACACAUGGGGAUAGCCGUUGGAAACGACGAUUAAUACCGCAUGAGACCACAGAAUCGCAUGAUAUAGGGGUCAAAGAUUUAUCGGUGUAAGAAGGGCUCGCGUCUGAUUAGCUAGUUGGAAGGGUAAAGGCCUACCAAGGCGACGAUCAGUAGCCGGUCUGAGAGGAUGAACGGCCACAUUGGAACUGAGACACGGUCCAAACUCCUACGGGAGGCAGCAGUGGGGAAUAUUGCACAAUGGGGGGAACCCUGAGGCAGCGACGCCGCGUGAGCGAAGAAGGUUUUCGAAGCGUAAAGCUCUGUCCUAUGAGAAGAUAAUGACGGUAUAAUAGGAGGAAGCCCCGGCUAAAUACGUG
RNAcentral lists this ribosomal RNA (477 nucleotides) under uncultured bacterium. RNAcentral's name for it is "partial 16S ribosomal RNA". It matches the Rfam family "Bacterial small subunit ribosomal RNA", at positions 29 to 507 of the family's 1533-position model. The record is from RNAcentral.